This 254-nucleotide ribosomal RNA is filed under the name uncultured bacterium. Its description in RNAcentral is "partial 16S ribosomal RNA". It matches the Rfam family "Bacterial small subunit ribosomal RNA", at positions 524 to 776 of the family's 1533-position model. The record is from RNAcentral.
UACGUAGGGUCCGAGCGUUGUCCGGAUUUAUUGGGCGUAAAGAGCUCGUAGGCGGUUCCGUAAGUCGGAUGUGAAAACUCGGGGCUCAACCCCGAGACGCCAUCCGAUACUGCGGUGACUUGAGUCUGGUAGGGGAACACGGAAUUCCUGGUGUAGCGGUGAAAUGCGCAGAUAUCAGGAGGAACACCGAUGGCGAAGGCAGUGUUCUGGGCCAGUACUGACGCUGAGGAACGAAAGCGUGGGGAGCGAACAGG